CCCAAUUGAUUGAUGGUGCUUGCACCUGAUUGAUUUUGGUCGCCAACGAGUGGCGGACGGGUGAGUAACACGUAGGUAACCUGCCCAGAAGCGGGGGACAACAUUUGGAAACAGAUGCUAAUACCGCAUAACAGCGUUGUUCGCAUGAACAACGCUUAAAAGAUGGCUUCUCGCUAUCACUUCUGGAUGGACCUGCGGUGCAUUAGCUUGUUGGUGGGGUAAYGGCCUACCAAGGCGAUGAUGCAUAGCCGAGUUGAGAGACUGAUCGGCCACAAUGGGACUGAGACACGGCCCAUACUCCUACGGGAGGCAGCAGUAGGGAAUCUUCCACAAUGGGCGCAAGCCUGAUGGAGCAACACCGCGUGAGUGAAGAAGGGUUUCGGCUCGUAAAGCUCUGUUGUUAAAGAAGAACACGUAUGAGAGUAACUGUUCAUACGUUGACGGUAUUUAACCAGAAAGUCACGGCUAACUACGUGCCAGCAGCCGCGGUAAUACGUAGGUGGCAAGCGUUAUCCGGAUUUAUUGGGCGUAAAGAGAGUGCAGGCGGUUUUCUAAGUCUGAUGUGAAAGCCUUCGGCUUAACCGGAGAAGUGCAUCGGAAACUGGAUAACUUGAGUGCAGAAGAGGGUAGUGGAACUCCAUGUGUAGCGGUGGAAUGCGUAGAUAUAUGGAAGAACACCAGUGGCGAAGGCGGCUACCUGGUCUGCAACUGACGCUGAGACUCGAAAGCAUGGGUAGCGAACAGGAUUAGAUACCCUGGUAGUCCAUGCCGUAAACGAUGAGUGCUAGGUGUUGGAGGGUUUCCGCCCUUCAGUGCCGGAGCUAACGCAUUAAGCACUCCGCCUGGGGAGUACGACCGCAAGGUUGAAACUCAAAGGAAUUGACGGGGGCCCGCACAAGCGGUGGAGCAUGUGGUUUAAUUCGAAGCUACGCGAAGAACCUUACCAGGUCUUGACAUCUUGCGCCAACCCUAGAGAUAGGGCGUUUCCUUCGGGAACGCAAUGACAGGUGGUGCAUGGUCGUCGUCAGCUCGUGUCGUGAGAUGUUGGGUUAAGUCCCGCAACGAGCGCAACCCUUGUUACUAGUUGCCAGCAUUAAGUUGGGCACUCUAGUGAGACUGCCGUGACAACCGGAGGAAGGU
Molecule: ribosomal RNA, 1140 nt
Filed under: Limosilactobacillus fermentum
Lineage: Bacteria; Bacillati; Bacillota; Bacilli; Lactobacillales; Lactobacillaceae
Description: bacterial SSU rRNA
Rfam family: Bacterial small subunit ribosomal RNA
Source: RNAcentral